UACAGAGGUCUCAAGCGUUGUUCGGAUUCAUUGGGCGUAAAGGGCGCGUAGGCGGCGGGGCAAGUCGGGUGUGAAAUCUCAGGGCUCAACCCUGAAACUGCACUCGAUACUGCUCUGCUUGAGGACUGGAGAGGAGACUGGAAUUCACGGUGUAGCAGUGAAAUGCGUAGAUAUCGUGAGGAAGACCAGUGGCGAAGGCGGGUCUCUGGACAGUUCCUGACGCUGAGGCACGAAGGUCAGGGGAGCAAACGGG
RNAcentral lists this ribosomal RNA (253 nucleotides) under uncultured bacterium. RNAcentral's name for it is "partial 16S ribosomal RNA". It matches the Rfam family "Bacterial small subunit ribosomal RNA", at positions 524 to 776 of the family's 1533-position model. The record is from RNAcentral.